GAUGAACGCUGGCGGCGUGCCUAAUACAUGCAAGUCGAGCGAACAGACGAGGAGCUUGCUCCUCUGACGUUAGCGGCGGACGGGUGAGUAACACGUGGAUAACCUACCUAUAAGACUGGGAUAACUUCGGGAAACCGGAGCUAAUACCGGAUAACAUGUUGAACCGCAUGGUUUAACAGUGAAAGACGGUCUUGCUGUCACUUAUAGAUGGGUCCGCGCCGCAUUAGCUAGUUGGUAAGGUAACGGCUUACCAAGGCAACGAUGCGUAGCCGACCUGAGAGGGUGAUCGGCCACACUGGAACUGAGACACGGUCCAGACUCCUACGGGAGGCAGCAGUAGGGAAUCUUCCGCAAUGGGCGAAAGCCUGACGGAGCAACGCCGCGUGAGUGAAGAAGGUCUUCGGAUCGUAAAACUCUGUUAUUAGGGAAGAACAAAUGUGUAAGUAACUAUGCACGUCUUGACGGUACCUAAUCAGAAAGCCACGGCUAACUACGUG
Molecule: ribosomal RNA, 497 nt
Filed under: uncultured bacterium
Lineage: Bacteria
Description: partial 16S ribosomal RNA
Rfam family: Bacterial small subunit ribosomal RNA
Source: RNAcentral